GAUGAACGCUGGCGGCGUGCCUAAUACAUGCAGGUCGAGCGAACAGACGAGGAGCUUGCUCCUCUGACGUUAGCGGCGGACGGGUGAGUAACACGUGGGUAACCUACCUAUAAGACUGGGAUAACUUCGGGAAACCGGAGCUAAUACCGGAUAAUAUAUUGAACCGCAUGGUUCAAUAGUGAAAGACGGUUUUGCUGUCACUUAUAGAUGGAUCCGCGCCGCAUUAGCUAGUUGGUAAGGUAACGGCUUACCAAGGCAACGAUGCGUAGCCGACCUGAGAGGGUGAUCGGCCACACUGGAACUGAGACACGGUCCAGACUCCUACGGGAGGCAGCAGUAGGGAAUCUUCCGCAAUGGGCGAAAGCUUGACGGAGCAACGCCGCGUGAGUGAUGAAGGUCUUCAGAUCGUAAAACUCUGUUAUUAGGGAAGAACAAAUGUGUAAGUAACUAUGCACGUCUUGACGGUACCUAAUCAGAAAGCCACGGCUAACUACGUG
This 497-nucleotide ribosomal RNA is filed under the name uncultured bacterium. Its description in RNAcentral is "partial 16S ribosomal RNA". It matches the Rfam family "Bacterial small subunit ribosomal RNA", at positions 28 to 507 of the family's 1533-position model. The record is from RNAcentral.